Molecule: non-coding RNA, 182 nt
Filed under: Prosthecobacter sp.
Lineage: Bacteria; Pseudomonadati; Verrucomicrobiota; Verrucomicrobiia; Verrucomicrobiales; Verrucomicrobiaceae
Also listed under: 1 other name
Description: 6S RNA
Rfam family: 6S / SsrS RNA
About the family: E. coli 6S RNA was the first non coding RNA to be sequenced, but its function was unknown until recently. It consists of 184 nucleotides that fold into an extended hairpin structure with a large single-stranded internal bulge. The 6S RNA specifically associates with RNA polymerase holoenzyme containing the sigma70 specificity factor.
Source: RNAcentral
AAUUUCCUGCGGUGUUCGUUUUCGAGCUUUGUGGCCCGGCCCGAUUCAUCAACUGCGGGGGCUACGCGCUGAAGUGACAUGUCAUGCCUUCACUGGAAGACAGAGCUUCAUCACGCGGGUUCCCACCUGGUCUCAUGGGAUACGUGAGCCCUUUGUAUUCGGACGGCACAUGUGGGUUUGAA